AAACUUUAUUUGAUACGUAUUUGGGAUUAUUAUAGUUCUGCUCUUCGAGCUAUAGUAAUAAAUUGGCGUCAAAAUAAACUUAUCGGACCCGGGGGCGGUACCCGGCGCCUCCACCAAUAAAAAUUAUGGGGGC
This 133-nucleotide transfer-messenger RNA is filed under the name Paracoccaceae bacterium. RNAcentral's name for it is "Rhodobacteraceae bacterium partial transfer-messenger RNA". It matches the Rfam family "Alphaproteobacteria transfer-messenger RNA", at positions 1 to 153 of the family's 355-position model. Rfam says of the family: Bacterial tmRNA, also known as 10Sa RNA or SsrA, is named for its dual tRNA and mRNA-like properties. The record is from RNAcentral. Lineage: Bacteria; Pseudomonadati; Pseudomonadota; Alphaproteobacteria; Rhodobacterales; Paracoccaceae.